This 274-nucleotide ribosomal RNA is filed under the name uncultured bacterium. RNAcentral describes it as "partial 16S ribosomal RNA". It matches the Rfam family "Bacterial small subunit ribosomal RNA", at positions 523 to 796 of the family's 1533-position model. The record is from RNAcentral.
AUACGGAGGAUCCAAGCGUUAUCCGGAAUCAUUGGGUUUAAAGGGUCCGUAGGCGGGUUUGUAAGUCAGUGGUGAAAGUUUUCGGCUCAACCGGAAAAUUGCCAUUGAUACUGCAAGUCUUGAAUCAUUAUGAAGUGGUUAGAAUGUGUAGUGUAGCGGUGAAAUGCAUAGAUAUUACACAGAAUACCGAUUGCGAAGGCAGAUCACUAAUAAUGUAUUGACGCCAAGGGACGAAAGCGUGGGUAGCGAACAGGAGUAGAAACCCCGGUAGUCC